This is a long non-coding RNA of Ictidomys tridecemlineatus (thirteen-lined ground squirrel), 735 nucleotides long. The record is from Ensembl. Lineage: Eukaryota; Metazoa; Chordata; Mammalia; Rodentia; Sciuridae.
AAUCGGGCCAUGUCACCUGUGCAGGGCCACCAAGGCUCAAUGUGAGGGUAACUUCAUUUACAAUUUUUCCACCAUACAGAAGCCCCAAUCCAAGCAUAAGAAAUGCAAGCUGGUCACUAGGGGACGUUCAACUUCCCCAGCCAAAGGAGCCCGGAUCAGGACACAAAUAAGUCCAGGCCCCACCAUUCCACAGAAUGCCAGAUCCCAGGAAGCUGCCGGCUGGCCAACCACCCCUGGAGCCCGGGCGGUCUCAUUUCCAGCAGGUACACCGGCCCCUCUCCCACUACCUGAAUGGCAGGUGGCGCUCAGCAUUCAAGUGGAAGUUACCCAGGGUUUUGUUCAGGAACAAAGAACAACCAACGUGUUGCCAAGAGAAAAAAUGAUCAACAGAAUCAGACUUGGAGGUGACUGGGGGCGAGUGUCAGACAAUGCGGCCACUGGCCUGGCCUCUAGUGCGGUGGUGUGGGAGACAAAGAGCCUGGCAGGAGGUCCUGAGGUCAUGCUGGGCUGUCCUCGGGAGUGAGUGACGUGGUCCUCACCAGGUGGUGGCCACAGAAGCCCGCUCCCCUCUGGCCAGCCUCCAGCUUCCUGCCUGGGGACGGGAUCUCUUGGACCUGGACAUGCCCCUGUGGUUGCCAUUUGUCAUGAGGACCUCGUCAGAGCCCAUGCCAUGCCAUUUGGACUUUUAGCCUCCAAAAUGUGGGCUAAAUAAACCUGUUUUCUUCAUGAGUAGUU